GACUAAACAGCAGAACAUAGCCCCAUAUGAUAAAAUUUACUGUGUCACCAUGAAACAUAUCAAUAUCCCUCAGCAAACAUGUAAACUUUACUAGUCGAUAACAUACUUUAAAAUAAAUAUAACAAUCCGUUGAUGACUAAAGCAGUAUUACUAUUUUCGACAUACAUGAUGCACUGGACAACCUUAAUAAAACUUACUUCUAAAGCUUCGUCAAGAAGAAUGUAAAAAUGGAAGAUUCACUGAAAUUC
This 248-nucleotide long non-coding RNA is filed under the name Olea europaea (common olive). RNAcentral's name for it is "long non-coding RNA (OEUR_LNC009638)". Lineage: Eukaryota; Viridiplantae; Streptophyta; Magnoliopsida; Lamiales; Oleaceae. The record is from RNAcentral.